UACGUAGGGGGCUAGCGUUGUCCGGAUUCAUUGGGCGUAAAGAGCUCGUAGGCGGUGUGUCACGUCGGCCGUGAAAACCUGCAGCUUAACUGUGGGCGUGCGGUCGAUACGGGCAUCACUGGAGUUCGGCAGGGGAGACUGGAAUUCCUGGUGUAGCGGUGAAAUGCGCAGAUAUCAGGAGGAACACCGGUGGCGAAGGCGGGUCUCUGGGCCGAUACUGACGCUGAGGAGCGAAAGCGUGGGGAGCAAACAGG
Molecule: ribosomal RNA, 254 nt
Filed under: uncultured bacterium
Lineage: Bacteria
Description: partial 16S ribosomal RNA
Rfam family: Bacterial small subunit ribosomal RNA
Source: RNAcentral